AGAGUUUGAUCAUGGCUCAGAUUGAACGCUGGCGGCAUGCCUUACACAUGCAAGUCGAACGCGAAAGUGGGGGCAACCCUGCGAGUAGAGUGGCGAACGGGUGAGUAAUACAUCGGAACGUACCCAGGAGUGGGGGACAACCUCGAGAAAUCGAGGCUAAUACCGCAUACGUCCUGAGGGAGAAAGCGGGGGAUUCGCAAGGACCUCGCGCUCAUGGAGCGGCCGAUGUCGGAUUAGCUAGUUGGCGGGGUAAAGGCCCACCAAGGCUACGAUCCGUAGCUGGUUUGAGAGAACGACCAGCCACACUGGGACUGAGACACGGCCCAGACUCCUACGGGAGGCAGCAGUGGGGAAUUUUGGACAAUGGGCGCAAGCCUGAUCCAGCCAUGCCGCGUGAGUGAAGAAGGCCUUCGGGUUGUAAAGCUCUUUCGGCUGGAACGAAAUCGCGUACGUGAAUAACGUGCGUGGAUGACGGUACUGGAAGAAGAAGCACCGGCUAACUACGUGCCAGCAGCCGCGGUAAUACGUAGGGUGCGAGCGUUAAUCGGAAUUACUGGGCGUAAAGCGUGCGUAGGCGGUUUUGUAAGUCAGAUGUGAAAUCCCCGGGCUUAACCUGGGAACUGCGUUUGAAACUACAGAGCUAGAGUGUGGCAGAGGGGGGUGGAAUUCCCGUGUAGCAGUGAAAUGCGUAGAUAUGUGGAGGAACACCGAUGGCGAAGGCAACCCCCUGGGCCAACACUGACGCUGAGGCACGAAAGCGUGGGGAGCAAACAGGAUUAGAUACCCUAGUAGUCC
This 795-nucleotide ribosomal RNA is filed under the name uncultured bacterium. RNAcentral describes it as "bacterial SSU rRNA". It matches the Rfam family "Bacterial small subunit ribosomal RNA", at positions 8 to 796 of the family's 1533-position model. The record is from RNAcentral.